Molecule: unclassified non-coding RNA, 1365 nt
Filed under: Hevea brasiliensis (rubber tree)
Lineage: Eukaryota; Viridiplantae; Streptophyta; Magnoliopsida; Malpighiales; Euphorbiaceae
Source: RNAcentral
GAUCUAAACAAUGGCUCUUCAGAUUGCGAAAAGACUCCUACGAUGCCGCACCGAUUCAGUUGCAUCCUCUGUUAGGUUUUUCGAUCGGACCUUCACUUCCCAAUCCAAUUCCAACUUGAUCCGCGCUACUCUUUUCCCCGGCGAUGGUAUUGGACCUGAGAUCGCCGAGUCCGUCAGGCAGAUAUUCAAGGUUGCUGAGGUACCAAUUGAAUGGGAAGAACACUAUGUGGGGACGGAUAUAGACCCUAGAACCAACAGCUUUCUAACAUGGGAAAGUCUUGAAUCAGUGAGGCGGAAUAAGGUUGGUCUGAAAGGGCCAAUGGCCACUCCUAUUGGAAAAGGUCAUCGUUCCUUGAACCUUACAUUGAGGAAGGAGUUAAAUCUAUAUGCCAAUGUCAGACCUUGCUACAGCCUUCCUGGAUAUAAGACUCGCUAUGAUGAUGUGAAUCUCAUCACUAUUAGAGAGAACACUGAAGGAGAGUACAGUGGUCUUGAACAUCAAGUAGUAAGAGGUGUGGUUGAAAGUCUCAAGAUCAUUACCCGUCAAGCAAGUUUAAGGGUUGCAGAGUAUGCAUUUCACUAUGCCAAGACCCAUGGAAGAGAGAGAGUGUCUGCAAUUCACAAAGCCAACAUCAUGCAAAAGACAGACGGUCUUUUUCUUAAGUGUUGCCGAGAGGUCGCGGAAAAGUACCCUGAUAUAAAGUAUGAGGAAGUUGUCAUUGACAAUUGCUGUAUGAUGCUUGUGAAAAAUCCAGCACUUUUUGAUGUUCUGGUGAUGCCUAACCUUUAUGGUGACAUAAUCAGUGAUCUUUGUGCUGGUUUGAUAGGUGGUUUGGGCUUAACUCCAAGUUGCAAUAUUGGCGAGGGAGGUAUUGCCCUUGCUGAGGCUGUGCAUGGUUCAGCACCUGAUAUUGCUGGAAAGAAUUUGGCGAAUCCAACUGCUUUGCUUUUGAGUUCAGUCUCUAUGCUUCGUCAUCUAGAGCUUCAUGAUAAAGCUGAUCGCAUCCAAGAUGCCAUCCUAAAAACAAUUGCAGAGGGGAAGUACCGAACAGGCGAUCUUGGAGGAACUGCCACAACAACUGAGUUCACCAAUGCCAUCUGCGAUCAUCUUUGAACAUGUGUAUAUACAUAUAGUCGUUUUGAUGUCAAUUUUGAUAGUCUUACAUUAUACAGUAGUUUAAAAUAACGGUAAGGCGGCAAUUGAAGAUCGUGGCCCCUUGCACCGUACCGUCUAUUCAUGUAGUUACAGAAGCUGGUAAGACAAAAGGCAAAAUAUUCACGCAGCCCGUGUUGGUGGCUGUCAUCUUGAUUUUCUUAAUCACCAUUCUGAUUUUGUAACGUUGAGACUUGACAAAAUAUCUGUUG